RNAcentral lists this unclassified non-coding RNA (223 nucleotides) under plant metagenome. RNAcentral describes it as "partial contains small subunit ribosomal RNA, internal transcribed spacer 1, and 5.8S ribosomal RNA". The record is from RNAcentral.
UUUCCGUAGGUGAACCUGCGGAAGGAUCAUUAAAGAGAAUAUGCCCUUCGGGGUAGAUCUCCCACCCUUUGUUUAUAUUACCUUUGUUGCUUUGGCAGGCCCGUCUUCGGACCACCGGCUUCGGCUGGUCAGAGUUUGCCAGAGGACCCAAAACUCUUAUUAUUAAUGUCGUCUGAGUACUAUAUAAUAGUUAAAACUUUCAACAACGGAUCUCUUGGUUCUG